UGGGGAAUAUUGGACAAUGGGCGAAAGCCUGAUCCAGCCAUUCCGCGUGAGUGAAGAAGGCCUUCGGGUUGUAAAGCUCUUUUGUCCGGAACGAAACGGGUAGCGUGAAUAGCGCUGCCUACUGACGGUACCGGAAGAAUAAGCACCGGCUAACUACGUGCCAGCAGCCGCGGUAAUACGGAGGGGGCGAGCGUUAUUCGGAAUUAUUGGGCGUAAAGGGCGCGGAGGCGGCCUGGCAAGUCAAAGGUGAAAUCCCUCGGCUCAACUGAGGAACUGCCUUUGAAACUGCCUGGCUUGAGGCCGGGAGGGGGUAGCGGAAUUCCCAGUGUAGCGGUGAAAUGCGUAGAUAUUGGGAGGAACACCAGUGGCGAAGGCGGCUACCUGGACCGGUUCUGACGCUGAUGCGCGAAAGCGUGGGUAGCAAA
Molecule: ribosomal RNA, 425 nt
Filed under: uncultured bacterium
Lineage: Bacteria
Description: bacterial SSU rRNA
Rfam family: Bacterial small subunit ribosomal RNA
Source: RNAcentral